UUUCCGUAGGUGAACCUGCGGAAGGAUCAUUCAUAAUAAGUGUUUUAUGGCACUUUUUUAAAUCCAUAGCCACCUUGUGUGCAAUGUCAGGGUUGGGCUCUUUUGAUCAGCCCCAAACAACAACUAUUAUCUCAACUCUUUGUCUGAAAAAUAUUAUGAAUAAAACAAUUCCAAAUACAACUUUCAACAACGGAUCUCUUGGCUCUC
Molecule: unclassified non-coding RNA, 207 nt
Filed under: plant metagenome
Description: partial contains small subunit ribosomal RNA, internal transcribed spacer 1, and 5.8S ribosomal RNA
Source: RNAcentral